GGCUCAGGAUGAACGCUGGCGGCGUGCCUAAUACAUGCAAGUCGAACGGAGAUCUAGCAAUAGUUCUUAGUGGCGAACGGGUGAGUAACGCGUUGGUGACCUGCCCCAAAGAGUGGGAUAACAGUUCGAAAGGACUGCUAAUACCGCAUGUGGUCAUAGAUGUUAGAGGAUUUAUGACAAAAGGAGAAAUCCGCUUUGGGAGGGACCUGCGUCCCAUCAGCUAGUUGGUAAGGUAACGGCCUACCAAGGCGACGACGGGUAGGGGACCUGAGAGGGUGAUCCCCCACAUUGGCACUGAAACACGGGCCAAACACCUACGGGUGGCAGCAGUAGGGAAUAUUGCACAAUGGGCGAAAGCCUGAUGCAGCAACGCCGCGUGCGCGAUGAAGGCCUUCGGGUUGUAAAGCGCUUUUCGGGGAGAUGAGGAAGGACAGUAUCCCCGGAAUAAGGCUCGGCUAACUACGUGCCAGCAGCCGCGGUAACACGUAGGAGUCAAGCGUUAUCCGAAUUCACUGGGCGUAAAGCGCGUGCAGGCGGCUUGGUAAGUUGGAUGUGAAAUCUCCUGGCUCAACUGGGAGAGGACGUUCAAUACUGUCAAGCUAGAGGGCGACAGAGGGAGGUGGAAUUCCCGGUGUAGUGGUGAAAUGCGUAGAUAUCGGGAGGAACACCAGUGGCGAAAGCGGCCUCCUGGGUCGCACCUGACGCUCAGACGCGAAAGCUAGGGGAGCGAACGGGAUUAGAAACCCCGGUAGUCCUAGCCGUAAACGAUGUAGACUUGGUGUCGGUGGGUUAAAAGCCAUCGGUGCCGAAGCUAACGCGAUAAGUCUACCGCCUGGGGACUACGGCCGCAAGGUU
RNAcentral lists this ribosomal RNA (855 nucleotides) under uncultured bacterium. RNAcentral describes it as "bacterial SSU rRNA". It matches the Rfam family "Bacterial small subunit ribosomal RNA", at positions 21 to 895 of the family's 1533-position model. The record is from RNAcentral.